This 179-nucleotide ribosomal RNA is filed under the name uncultured bacterium. Its description in RNAcentral is "partial 16S ribosomal RNA". It matches the Rfam family "Bacterial small subunit ribosomal RNA", at positions 327 to 523 of the family's 1533-position model. The record is from RNAcentral.
CGGUCCAGACUCCUACGGGAGGCAGCAGUGGGGAAUAUUGCACAAUGGGGGAAACCCUGAUGCAGCAACGCCGCGUGAGUGAUGACGGUCUUCGGAUUGUAAAGCUCUGUCUUCAGGGACGAUAAUGACGGUACCUGAGGAGGAAGCCACGGCUAACUACGUGCCAGCAGCCGCGGUAA